GCGUUUGUAGCUCAGCUGGAUAGAGCAUCGGACUUCGAAUCCGCAGGUCGCACGUUCGAGUCGUGUCAGACGCA
This 74-nucleotide transfer RNA is filed under the name Treponema sp. RNAcentral describes it as "tRNA-Arg". It matches the Rfam family "tRNA". From Rfam's summary of the family: Transfer RNA (tRNA) molecules are approximately 80 nucleotides in length. Their secondary structure includes four short double-helical elements and three loops (D, anti-codon, and T loops). Lineage: Bacteria; Pseudomonadati; Spirochaetota; Spirochaetia; Treponematales; Treponemataceae. The record is from RNAcentral.